UUAAAUACUUCGAUGGAGAGAAAGAUACUGGAUGUUCUUUACAGAGACCUGGAGGCGGUGAAAGCCAGGAAGAAAUAAGGUAUGUAAUAUUCACUCUGGAGUAGGGUUGUUGAAAAUGUAGACAAUUUCGGAAGCCACCGUUAUCUUAGGCUAUGGAUUAAUUUGAUCCUGAUAAGAGAUAGUAAUUAUACUAUAAUUUAGGUGGUACCGCGAAUCUUUCGUCCUAUUG
RNAcentral lists this non-coding RNA (229 nucleotides) under Clostridiales bacterium. Its description in RNAcentral is "T-box sequence". It matches the Rfam family "T-box leader". Rfam says of the family: Uncharged tRNA acts as the effector for transcription antitermination of genes in the T-box leader family. T-boxes are found upstream of many aminoacyl-tRNA synthetase genes and some amino acid biosynthetic genes usually in Gram-positive bacteria. Lineage: Bacteria; Bacillati; Bacillota; Clostridia; Eubacteriales. The record is from RNAcentral.